GGGGAAUAUUGCACAAUGGGGGAAACCCUGAUGCAGCGACGCCGCGUGGAGGAAGAAGGUCUUCGGAUUGUAAACUCCUGUUGUUGAGGAAGAUAAUGACGGUACUCAACAAGGAAGUGACGGCUAACUACGUGCCAGCAGCCGCGGUAAAACGUAGGGUGCAAGCGUUGUCCGGAAUUACUGGGUGUAAAGGGAGCGCAGGCGGACCGGCAAGUUGGAAGUGAAAACUAUGGGCUCAACCCAUAAAUUGCUUUCAAAACUGCUGGCCUUGAGUAGUGCAGAGGUAGGUGGAAUUCCCGGUGUAGCGGUGGAAUGCGUAGAUAUCGGGAGGAACACCAGUGGCGAAGGCGACCUACUGGGCACCAACUGACGCUGAGGCUCGAAAGCAUGGGUAGCAAACAGGAUUAGAUACCCUGGUAGUCCAUGCCGUAAACGAUGAUUACUAGGUGUUGGAGGAUUGACCCCUUCAGUGCCGCAGUUAACACAAUAAGUAAUCCACCUGGGGAGUACGACCGCAAGGUUGAAACUCAAAGGAAUUGACGGGGGCCCGCACAAGCAGUGGAGUAUGUGGUUUAAUUCGAAGCAACGCGAAGAACCUUACCAGGUCUUGACAUCCGAUGCAUAGUGCAGAGAUGCAUGAAGUACUUCGGGACAUCGAGACAGGUGGUGCAUGGUUGUCGUCAGCUCGUGUCGUGAGAUGUUGGGUUAAGUCCCGCAACGAGCGCAACCCUUAUUGCCAGUUACUACGCAAGAGGACUCUGGCGAGACUGCCGUUGACAAAACGGAGGAAGGUGGGGAUGACGUCAAAUCAUCAUGCCCUUUAUGACCUGGGCUACACACGUACUACAAUGGCGUUUAACAAAGAGAAGCAAGACCGCGAGGUGGAGCAAAACUCAAAAACAACGUCUCAGUUCAGAUUGCAGGCUGCAACUCGCCUGCAUGAAGUCGGAAUUGCUAGUAAUCGCGGAUCAGCAUGCCGCGGUGAAUACGUUCCCG
RNAcentral lists this ribosomal RNA (996 nucleotides) under uncultured bacterium. RNAcentral describes it as "bacterial SSU rRNA". It matches the Rfam family "Bacterial small subunit ribosomal RNA", at positions 356 to 1376 of the family's 1533-position model. The record is from RNAcentral.